This 70-nucleotide transfer RNA is filed under the name Acropyga goeldii. RNAcentral describes it as "tRNA-Trp". Lineage: Eukaryota; Metazoa; Arthropoda; Insecta; Hymenoptera; Formicidae. The record is from RNAcentral.
AAGAUUUUAAGUUAAAUUUAAACUUUAAACCUUCAAAGCUUAAUAUAUAAAUAAUAUUUUAUAAAUCUUA